AGAAAGUUAGUCUAACUAAGACAGCUGAUUUCGGCUCAGCAGAUUAUAGCGAACUCUAUAACUUUCUU
Molecule: transfer RNA, 68 nt
Filed under: Casuarius casuarius (southern cassowary)
Lineage: Eukaryota; Metazoa; Chordata; Aves; Casuariiformes; Casuariidae
Description: tRNA-Arg
Source: RNAcentral